ACAGCUCGGAAAAGUUUCCUUGUUUCUAUAUUAUGCUAAUCGCGGCCGCUCUCGCCGCCUCCCAUUGGCCCGGAGUACCAGUCAAUUUCCCUUUUGGGCCUGACGUCACAAGUGCUAUAAAACUCAGCAAUUGCUUUAAACUCUUCUUGCUGGAUCAGAGGCUUUAAAAUCUUUUUUUCAUCUUCGAGCUGUAGCUCGGGCUGCUCGUCGGCUCGGCCUCUCCCCUUUUGCUCUCCGCCUCGCCUUUCCCCAGGACUUCGCUAUUUCGCUUUAAAAAAACAAAACAAAAAAAAGGCAAGAAAGAACUCCGCUCCCCCCUCCCUUUCCUCCAGCCCGGCUGCACCUCUGUCUUGCACUUUGCACGGAGGGAGGAAGACCGCGAGGUUGAGAGAGAGAGAGGAAAGAAAAAAAAAAAAAAAAACCAGGCAGAAGAAGAGGCGAGAAGCAUGAAGUGUUAACUCCCCUGUGCCAAGGCCCGCGCCGCCGGGACAGCGGCCCGCCGCGCCUCCAGCCCCGAGCGGCCGCCGCGCGCGCCCCGCCUGCAGCCCGGGCCGGCGAGGCGAGCACUCCUUAUGCAAAACGCGCAGCGGAGCGGCGAGCGGGGGACGCCGCGCACCCAGCCGGGCUCUUCUGGCUUCGCCGCCGCCGCCGCCACCGCAGCCCGCAGAGGACCUUCCCGAGCCUGAAGCCGCCGGCUCGGCGCGCUAGGAGGCGAGCAGGCGAGGAGGGGCCGGGGCGAGCGAGCAAGCACAUUGGCGUGAGCAGGGGGGAGGGAGGGCGGGCGCGGGGGGCGCGGGCAGGGCGGGGGGGUGUGUGCGCGCUCGGAGGUUUCGGGCCAGCCACCGCCGCGCGAGCUAGAAGCGCCCCAGCCCGGCAAGCUGGCUCACCCGCUGGCCACCCAGCACAGCCCGCUGGCCCCUCUCCUGCAGCCCAUCUGGCGGAGCGGCGGCGGCGGCGGCGGCGGCGGCAGGAGAAUGGCAUCAGAACUGGCAAUGAGCAACUCCGACCUGCCCACCAGUCCCCUGGCCAUGGAAUAUGUUAAUGACUUCGAUCUGAUGAAGUUUGAAGUGAAAAAGGAACCGGUGGAGACCGACCGCAUCAUCAGCCAGUGUGGCCGUCUCAUCGCCGGGGGCUCGCUGUCCUCCACCCCCAUGAGCACGCCGUGCAGCUCGGUGCCCCCUUCCCCCAGCUUCUCGGCGCCCAGCCCGGGCUCGGGCAGCGAGCAGAAGGCGCACCUGGAAGACUACUACUGGAUGACCGGCUACCCGCAGCAGCUGAAUCCCGAGGCGCUGGGCUUCAGCCCCGAGGACGCGGUCGAGGCGCUCAUCAGCAACAGCCACCAGCUCCAGGGCGGCUUCGAUGGCUACGCGCGCGGGGCGCAGCAGCUGGCCUCGGCGGCCGGGGCCGGCGCCGGCGCCUCCCUGGGCGGCAGCGGCGAGGAGAUGGGCCCCGCCGCCGCCGUGGUGUCCGCCGUGAUCGCCGCGGCCGCCGCGCAGAGCGGCGCGGGCCCGCACUACCACCACCACCACCACCACCACGCCGCCGGCCACCACCAUCACCCGACGGCCGGCGCGCCCGGCGCCGCGGGCAGCGCGUCCGCCUCGGCCGGUGGCGCGGGCGGCUCGGGCGGCGGCGGCCCAGCCAGCGCCGGGGGCGGCGGCGGCGGCGGCGGAGGCGGCGGCGGCGGCGGCGGCGGGGGCGCGGCGGGGGCGGGGGGCGCCCUGCACCCUCACCACGCCGCCGGCGGCCUGCACUUCGACGACCGCUUCUCCGACGAGCAGCUGGUGACCAUGUCGGUGCGCGAGCUGAACCGGCAGCUGCGCGGGGUCAGCAAGGAGGAGGUGAUCCGGCUGAAGCAGAAGAGGCGGACCCUGAAAAACCGCGGCUAUGCCCAGUCCUGCCGCUUCAAGAGGGUGCAGCAGAGGCACGUCCUGGAGUCCGAGAAGAACCAGCUGCUGCAGCAGGUCGACCACCUCAAGCAGGAGAUCUCCAGGCUGGUGCGCGAGAGGGACGCGUACAAGGAGAAAUACGAGAAGCUGGUGAGCAGCGGCUUCCGAGAAAACGGCUCGAGCAGCGACAACCCGUCCUCUCCCGAGUUUUUCAUAUGCCACGGGCAGAAGCUUUAACAGAGCCGAGCACCCCGAUUUUCUCUCGGGCCCUGGAUAGUAUUGUAUUUAUCAGUGAUGUCAAACGUGGUCAUUCAUCAGAGCCGUACCCAAGGGAAUCCUCUACAUCAGUGAUGUGAAAAAUCCUGUUGCCUGAAGUCAAAGAGAUGUUCCUGACAUUGGCUAAGACCCAUCCGGAUGCAACCAAGCCUUAACAGAGCUGCCUUGGGGCAGGGCAGGUGGGACACAUAUACAUAGGGGAGGGGCCUGUUGGUAGCUUUCCUGUCACCUGUGGGAGUUUCCUGAUGGAACUUGUAAAAACAGCUCUUCCCGGGUUCUAAGUACCCAUCACUUUUUUUUUUUCCUAGUCUUAACAAUUAGCUGAGUGGAUAUGUUUUAUCCUGACUGUACCUAUGCUGACAUGAAUUCAAACCAAUGUAAGGAAGGCUUUACUCUGUUAUGAACUGGGAUAUAAACAAAAAACACAGUAAAAGGACUCUGAAAUCUUGUUUCUACUUUGUAUAACGUGUCCUCCCAUGUUGCAGUAACCAUCCAGAAAUAAAACGCAAGCAUGGUUUCCCAACGUCCAGUGUCAGUGUGGGUACCUGAGCACAGCUAUUUAAUUCCAACAUAAAAUUAAAGAUGUCAUAACCGUAUUUCCCUUGCAGAGUCCAUCAAAAUAUUUUAACAGAAAUGGUGAAUGAGGUGUUCUCAUGCAAAGGCCAUGUGAAAACACAGACCGUAAGUUUUCGUCUCCUGGUGCCUCGGUUUGAAAAGCCCAAGUGAGAACCGUGGCUGGUCUUGACUCGGGCUUCACUGCAGACCCCCUCAGGGCUUCUCGGUAUUCAGUUUUUAGAGUAACUGCCCCGUCCUGGAAGACAGCAAGGGGUAGGAUGCUGUCUGGCAUGCAGACCUGGAGAGCAGACCAAUCCGUCACAGAUGCCAUGAGUAUGUCUUAAGCACAUUACAUCACUGUAUUUGUUGGCACCGAGAAAAUAAGGGAAAAUAAUUCUGUUUAAAGUGUUUUAUUACUGGGACUAACAUACCUAAUUGUUUGUUGUUGUUGUUGUUGUUUGUUUAAUUAGAUUAUGCUCCUGCCUAAGCCCCCCCAUCCCCCUUUCCAUACAAGGCUGCCUGAUGUCUUCCUUUCUGUGGACACUGGCCCACUAGUGAGCAGAUUUAAUCAAUUAAUUAUGGCAGAGCAGGUACAGGGCAAGCAGCUCAAUGAACUCACAUUAUUUCCAGUCAACGUUAGAAUGCUAUCAAAGGGGCUGCCUUAAAAAAGGAACAUUAU
Mesoplodon densirostris (Blainville's beaked whale) is the source of this 3399-nucleotide RNA transcript. It is a transcript of the gene named MAF bZIP transcription factor, with no coding region annotated. NCBI's taxonomy places the organism in Eukaryota, Metazoa, Chordata, Mammalia, Artiodactyla, Ziphiidae. The record is from RefSeq and is a predicted model, not a curated record. The transcript is spliced from 4 exons.